Molecule: ribosomal RNA, 465 nt
Filed under: Vreelandella stevensii
Lineage: Bacteria; Pseudomonadati; Pseudomonadota; Gammaproteobacteria; Oceanospirillales; Halomonadaceae
Description: partial 16S ribosomal RNA
Rfam family: Bacterial small subunit ribosomal RNA
Source: RNAcentral
CCUACGGGAGGCUGCAGUGGGGAAUAUUGGACAAUGGGGGGAACCCUGAUCCAGCCAUGCCGCGUGUGUGAAGAAGGCCCUCGGGUUGUAAAGCACUUUCAGUGAGGAAGAACGCCUGGUGGUUAAUACCCAUCAGGAAAGACAUCACUCACAGAAGAAGCACCGGCUAACUCCGUGCCAGCAGCCGCGGUAAUACGGAGGGUACGAGCGUUAAUCGGAAUUACUGGGCGUAAAGCGCGCGUAGGUGGCUUGAUAAGCCGGUUGUGAAAGCCCCGGGCUCAACCUGGGAACGGCAUCCGGAACUGUCAAGCUAGAGUGCAGGAGAGGAAGGUAGAAUUCCCGGUGUAGCGGUGAAAUGCGUAGAGAUCGGGAGGAAUACCAGUGGCGAAGGCGGCCUUCUGGACUGACACUGACACUGAGGUGCGAAAGCGUGGGUAGCAAACAGGAUUAGAUACCCUGGUAGUC